UUUCUCUAUCUGCCUAAGCUUGAUAAAAUGACUAGUUGUGAGUAUAGAGACUUGCCUGAGCCGGUUCAGAUUCCGGGGUGUAUUCCGGUCCAUGGGAGGGAUCUACCUGGCCCGGUUCAAGAUAGGAAGACUGAGGCUUAUAAGUGGGUGCUUCAUCAUGUGAAGAGGUAUAGUUUGGCUGAUGGAAUAAUGGUGAAUAGCUUCAUGGACUUGGAGGGAGGAGCUAUCAAAGCUUUACAAGAAUUGGGUAGACCACCGGUUUACCCGGUCGGACCGCUCAUUCAAAGGGAUCAUUCAACUACAGGUGCUGAUGGGUUGGAUUGUUUAAGGUGGUUGGAUGAUCAGCCUAGUGGCUCUGUCUUGUUUGUCUCAUUUGGCAGCGGGGGGACUCUGACGACUAAUCAGAUUACUGAGUUGGCCUUGGGAUUGGAAAUGAGUGGCCAAAGAUUCUUAUGGGUUCUUAGAAGUCCAAAUGAUGAAUCUGCCAACGCAGCUUUCUUUGAUAGCUAUAGUAAAAAAGACCCCCUUGAUUUCUUACCACAAGGUUUCAUUGACAGAACCAAAGGCCAUGGUCUCGUGGUGCCUGAUUGGGCUCCUCAAGCACAAAUACUUAGUCAUGGCUCAACUGGUGGCUUCUUGACUCACUGUGGCUGGAACUCGAUUCUUGAGACUGUGACGAAUGGCGUGCCUGUGAUUGCAUGGCCACUCUAUGCAGAGCAGAAGAUGAAUGCUGUAAUGCUGAAUGAAGAUCUUAAAGUUGCCCUGAGGCCACAAGUUGGGGAGAAUGGUAUGGUGGGAUGUGUUGAAAUCGCAAAGCUCGUCAAGGGUUUGAUUGAAGGAGAAGAAGGUAAGGGUCUUCGAGCCAGGAUGAGAGACCUGAAAGAUGCAGCCGUCAAGGUUCUUGGUGAAGACGGAUCAUCAACAAAAGCCAUGGCUCAAGUAGUUAGCAAAUGGUGUAUUUAAGGUUAUCAUUUACUUUCAGAAGUUUUUAGCUUGCUUUCUUGUUAAAUAUUUUACCGAGUCUCCUUUCUUAAGUUUCAGAAACUACAUGAAACAUCUAGCCACAACAUAAACUGAAAGAAACUACACAGAAAUUUUAUGUUACAAGACUAUUAGUGACAUGGCAAUGCGUAAGAUUGAGCUAGAAGAAUUUGUGAAGGCAGCAGUAUCAGAGAAAAAAUCGGUUUUAAGACUGUUUGAUACUGCGCGCCUAUGACUUCGUUUCUCAGGAAAUUCGCGCGGCAGAAGAUCCUGAUGAUUAAUCACCUGCUUCUCAUGUUCCGUGAAUAGCUGGGACAUUGAGGAAUAUCCAGAGGCUUUUCGGGAAACUCAUUUGUCAUUGUUGAGACCUGACGGGCAUCCAGGACCUUGCAGAAGUCCGCAUCCGUUUUCGAUAAUUCUGAUAGGAUCUGGUUGUUGGAAUAAUAUUGAAUAAAUUUUAUAUUAUUAUUUUUGAUUAUGUAACUUUUGUUAAUUAAUUUGUGUAACUCCUAUAAUAAUGACUCAAGUUUAAAUUGUUCACUAAAAAUAAUAAAAUAAUAAUAUAAAAUUUAUUCAAUAUUAUCCCAAAACCGGUGCUAUCAGUUAUGUAACCUUGUUUCUACUUGGAAGAAGGGGUAAGAUUGUCUACAUCUUACCAUAGCCAGACAUAUCAGUAUUUAUAUUUUAGUUAGUUAUGUAAUUUCAUUUUGUUGACAGAUAUCUUGAUUAUCUAUAUUAUAUUAUGUUACUAGUUGUAAAUUAAUAUGUAAUUUGUUGAAGAAAAAGCUUCUUAUUCUAAACCCAACUUCUUUGUAUUUGACACAAGCAAGAUUAGACACUGAAACGUGUUACAAGCUCAAAGAUUAGGAAAAACAGCUACAAUAAUUCAAAAGCAGACUUAUUAUUGAGGCUCAUUUCAUAACACGUGAUAAUAAUGAAGAUAUUAGAGCACUAUCCAAAGUCCUGUAUAAUGGAAGAGUUAGUAGAUCUCCUUUGUCAUUCAUACAACUCUAACUACUCUGAUUUCAUAUUGAUCAAAAACUUAACCCAUACCUAUAUUAUUUUAUGAAAGAUUUUGUGCAUGAAAUAGUGUCUCUUUAUUGGACUGGUAGUUGGCUAGUUGGAGAUGUUUGAUUCAUGAUUAAUGAGAAAGAUAAAUAAUAAUCGAAAUUUUAACUAUGAAUUUUGUGACAUUAAAUGAGAAACUCAAUCCCGAGUGAUUAAAUCAUUCAUUACACUCUUUUUAAGAUACCCAUAUUCAUAUCCCUCGCUAUGGAGCUACCAAAUCCGGCUCAUAAGCCGAUGCUCAUAAGACUAAUACAGUGAAGAUAUUUUUAGAAAUUAUGGUGGGAGUACUGGAUCUCUUAUAUAAGUGAAGUAGUUGUGCAUCUUUUUAUUCCAUUCAUGCACUACAAAUUCUACAAUACAGCUCCAGUUUCAUUUCACUUGGUGUUUAGUUGAAAUGGAGAAACCGUCUCACAUAGCCAUUUUCCCCACUUCUGGAAUGGGUCAUCUCAUUCCACUUGUUCAGUUUGCUAAAAGGCUCAUAAGCCUUCACAAUUUCACUGCAACUUUUAUCAUAGCUACUGAUGGCCCUCUUUCUAAAGCUCAACAAACAUUUCUCGAUUCGUUGCCUAAUGGUUUAGACUAUGUUGUUCUUCCUCCUGUUAAUCUUGAUGAUUUGUCCGAUGAUGUUACGGUCGAAACACGAAUGAUGAUUAUAAUGUCGAGAUCAUUGCCUUCGUUUCGUGACACGUUUCAAUCCUUUCAUGCAGCCAACAAGUUUGCUAGCCUGGUUGUUGAUCUUUUUAGUACAGAUGCACUUGAUGUUGCUAUUGAAUUCAAGGUGCCACCUUAUCUUUUUUUCCCUUCGACUGCUAUGGCCUUGUCAUUGUUUCUCUAUCUGCCUAAGCUUGAUAAAAUGACUAGUUGUGAGUACAGAGACUUGCCUGACCCGGUUCAAAUUCCGGGGUGUAUUCCGGUCCAUGGGAGGGAUCUACCUGGCCCGAUUCAAGAUAGGAAGAGUGAGACUUAUAAGUGGAUGCUUCAUCAUGUGGAGAGGUACAGUUUGGCUGAUGGAAUAAUGGUGAAUAGCUUCAUGGACUUGGAGGGAGGAGCUAUCAAAGCUUUACAAGAAUUGGGUAGACCAAUGGUUUACCCGGUUGGACCGCUCAUUCAAAUGGAUCAUUCAACUACUGGUGCUGAUGAGGUGAAUUGUUUAAGGUGGUUGGAUGAUCAGCCUAGUGGUUCUGUCUUGUUUCUGUCCUUUGGUAGUGGCGGAACUCUGACGGCUAAUCAGAUCUCUGAGUUGGC
Molecule: long non-coding RNA, 3294 nt
Filed under: Daucus carota (carrot)
Lineage: Eukaryota; Viridiplantae; Streptophyta; Magnoliopsida; Apiales; Apiaceae
Description: long non-coding RNA (DCAR_LNC005130)
Source: RNAcentral